RNAcentral lists this non-coding RNA (123 nucleotides) under Myotis davidii. RNAcentral's name for it is "Eukaryotic large subunit ribosomal RNA". It matches the Rfam family "Eukaryotic large subunit ribosomal RNA", at positions 2198 to 2321 of the family's 3401-position model. The record is from Rfam by way of RNAcentral. Lineage: Eukaryota; Metazoa; Chordata; Mammalia; Chiroptera; Vespertilionidae.
CUGCCCAGAGCUCUGAAUGUCAAAGUGAAGAAAUUCAAUGAAGCACGGGUAAACAGUGGGAGUAACUAUGACUCUCUUAAGGUAGCCAAAUGUCUCAUCAUCUAAUUAGUAAAUGGAUGAAUG